Molecule: non-coding RNA, 58 nt
Organism: Salmo salar (Atlantic salmon)
Lineage: Eukaryota; Metazoa; Chordata; Actinopteri; Salmoniformes; Salmonidae
Source: Rfam
UGGCUCAGUUGGUAGAGCAUGGCACUUGAAAAGCCAGGGUGGUGGGUUUGAUUCCCAC